CGUUUUUUGUUCCUUCAUUUUAUCUCUAUAUCUUAUAUAAAUAUAAUUCUCAAGUUUUGUAUUUUAUCACAAUACACAUAAAAUAAGUCUGCUGUAGUAUACAGAUUGUGUCAUCACUACUUACGUCACAAAUACCGUAUAAUCGAAAAAAAAAUCGCCAUCGCUGACGCCGUUUUUUUUCGAUCAUAUAGUAUACCGGGUGUUGCAUCGUCGGACGGGACAACCCUAGUUUAAGCAUCCGUUUAUUGUUGUAGAUUGUAGAUUGUAUGGGAGAAACCUCCUAAACAUUUUACAUUCUACGAUGUCAUGUAUCGAAAUUACCAUAUACAAACUAAAAUAUUAUGGGAAACUGAAAUUGAGAUCUUUGAAAGGACCUUUUUACCGCAACCAGUUAUACACAAAUUUAUUAGUUUUGUGACGAACCACCGGUCGCGCUUAAGGCGAAAAUAUUUAAGCAGUUCAAAUCAAAUCAAGUCAGUUCUAAUCAAAUAAUAUGUACCGUCAAAAAUCGAAAAAAGUUUUAGUGGAAUUUUAGUGAUUAUUUAAACUUUUUAUUAAAAACAAUGAUGGAAUCAGGCCGUAAACCCUUUCAUAAUUAUGUUGUUCCGAUGCCGGAUUUGUUUUCCAAAAGACAUACAUUCUCGAAGAACGAUCCUACAUUAUUUCAAAAGUGAUAUCAAGUGCGAAACCUUAAAAUGGAAAAUACAACACAGCAAGAUAUUUAAAAGAUUUAUAGAGUUUGUGAUUUACAUUUUUGUAAUCAAGAUCGUACCUGGAAUAAAAAGAGGUUUAGAAGUUAAUUCUAAAGUUUUUGUAUACACCAGUUCAUAUGGAUGAUCAACCUACUGGUAAUUUGGUGUCCAGUGAUGUCGAUCCAGGUACAAACCCUGUAUUUAAAGACAAACAUUUGUUGUACAACUUGUUGAUGGACCACUCUCUCGUUGGUAUUAGACACGUACUGAGAUAAAAGCAGUAACUGAAAAGGAGAAAGGAUCAGAUAACCCAAAUCAGGAAUCUUCCAGAGUGCAGAUGAUGCAGUUUUUGUGAGUGAGGUAUAAUAUCUGUCUCUUGUAAGACCUCUUUUAAGAAUUUAACCCAGGCAGUUGUUUACAACCAAGUUAGAUCUCAAGCAUAACAAAGGAAUCGUAGAACCUGUGAAUUCAGUUUAAUUACUGAGAUCAAGGAUGAUGAAACAUUCAUUAUGAUUAUACAGAGCUACAAAGAGUUAUGUUGAGAAUCCAAAUUAUCAUAAUGAAUUGAGACGAGACAACACCUGGGUGGAAAUUGACGAAAAAUGUAGAUAAAAGGCAUUUUUAUAUUAACGCUAUGAAUCCAAUGUUUUUAUCAAAUCGUCACAUAGAUAAUAUUUCUCUACGCAUAAUACUAAAAUUAAAAAGGUCAGGUUAAAACAACUUUAAUUAUCCAUCGCGUGCGAAAAACAGUGCUUCGCAUGGCUUCGGCUUCGGCGCGCUUCGCUCAAGUGCUCAUCAUGCUUUAAACUUUUGCGAAGCGCCAAAAUGUCAUUGGAUUAAUUGCAUGUAUUUUGAUUCUUCGCGUUACUUCGCUUGGUCUGCAUUUUUAUACAUAGAUACCAUUGAUCCAAUUCACAUUUUUUCGCCGCGCUUCGAAUAAGUUCGCGACAAAACUUUGUUAGUUGUAUUUUAUAUUAUUUAAUGCUAUUGUAUUGAUUUAUAAUUAUUAUUGUAUUUAUAUGAACAAGUUAAGUAUAGCAAUGCCGUGCGAGCCUUCGUCUGAAGAAGAAAUUUAAUUUAUUGUAUAAUUUGUAUUAUUUACUUUUUUUAAUAAAGCUAUUA
Molecule: long non-coding RNA, 1814 nt
Filed under: Sitophilus oryzae (rice weevil)
Lineage: Eukaryota; Metazoa; Arthropoda; Insecta; Coleoptera; Curculionidae
Description: uncharacterized LOC115879794, transcript variant X2
Source: RNAcentral